GUUUGAAGCAGAUUGACAUGGUCAUAUUUGCGCAUCAAAAGGAUCCCUUUGGCCAAAGCAUGUGUCGAAACAGGACACGGCUGGGAGGGCGGCCGGCAUGAGAUCAUGACAGCCGUCCAUGGAGGAGUUGAAUGAGGUCAUCUGACGCAUGAGGUGAGGAGUUUAUCUCUUCCUACCACCCCACCUCCCACCAUAAUGGUCUGCCUUACCACAGCCUGAAAGGAAUGGAACCUUGCUGCUACCAAGGACUGGGACCUCUCCAACUGUGAGCCACAAGAUGCAGCAGCCCUGCGAAGGCUCUUCACCAGCUUCCACGAUCACAGAAGCCUAGUCAAGGGCCAUUCUAUGCUACUCACAAGGAAUUAUGGCUUCUGUGGGCCAAGACACUUUUCCUUCAUGGACUUUUCUGACAUCAAACAUUUUAAAAUUGCAAUUUAUGACUGAAUAAAUUGUAUGUGUAUAAAGAGAAAUAUUAUUUCAGUUGGAUUUAUGUCUCCAUCAUCACACUUACUGACGCCUCUGUGAGCGUGAAUAAAUACCAUGAACAUUGUGUGCCUCGUGAAUGAACUGACCUCGGGUGUCUCUCACUAAAAGCACAUGUAUGCAUAUCAUUUCUUCUGUGGUUGGUUCGGUGUUUUUGUUAAUCAUGUUGUCCUGAGUUUUGUAUUUGUUCCUGGUUUGGGUAUUUUCAGAAAUAGGGUCUAUCAUGUACUCUUGGCUGGCCUGGAACUUACUGUGAUAUCCUCCUACCUCUGGUUCCUGAACGUAAGUAAUCAUUCUCAGCUCCCUUUAAGAAUGAGUUUAAAGGAAUCACUCCAAGCAUCUGGUGUGACACACAGGGACAGCAGAUACACAUUGAGGGACUACCUUCCCUGAGUGACGACCUCCCUUCCAGAGUCUGCUCUCAACCUACCAGCUGGGCCAGUGGGAAUGAAGGCUGCUGCUACGGCCUGAAUGUCCCCUCCGAAACUCACACGGACCUUCAACUGUGACAGCAGAGAGACUUUAAAAAGUGGUCAGGUCAUGAGGACUCUGCCCUUGGUAAUGAAUUAAUGCUGUUACCAUGGUUGGUUAUUUACCAGAGGAGUGGGGCCCUGAUCAAAGGAUACUUGUCCCCCAUCCUCCCAACCCAUGCUGUCACUCAGCAAGAAGGCCUACACCAGAUGCGGCAGCUGCCCCCGCCCCAUCUCGUACUUUCCAGCCUCCAGCACAGAGAGUCAAAUAAACUGCCAUAGUUUAUGACUCUCCCAGUCUGUGCUAUUCUGUUACGGUGAUAGAAAAUGAACAACGACAGUUACUAUAUAGAGAAGCCAGGGGAAAAGAUGAGUGUGGAAUAAAACUGCCUCUGAGAAACACAUCAAAGAAAACGUGUGUGCCUUGGAAUGAAAUUGGAGACAUGUGGUUUCUAUGUAUUUUCCAUUAGAUUGCUAAUAAUGGGAUGUAAAUCACCUGUGGAAGCAGACGUGCCCGGCCCAGGCACCGGUGCCUAUUGGCACCAGCUGCUUCCGAUUAACUACCUGUCCCGAAGAACUACCUGUACUUCUUGGGGUUUGUGGGGGACAGGAAAUUAGCCUCUGGCCACCUUACCUUUAGUCCCACACUUCUCUCAAGCUGUACAACCAACAGAUAUGAAAAGGACAAAUUGUGUGAAUGGUGGGAAGUCAGAUAUGGAGGUCACUCCGUAUGCCCCCAAAAACGUUUGGCCAUGAACGGAGUAUAGUCUCUCCGGAAACACAACCCCUGUUCUAGAUGACACGUCCGACAGAUAGGUAUCAUCACAGAGGGUCGAAGGUGUGUAUCAAAGCAAGCAUUAUUCCUGUAGCAAGGAUGGUGCCCCCCCCCUUUUUUUAAAUGAAAAAACAUCAGGAAACCAUUUUGUGGCUGAACCACACAACCAAAAGCAGUGGCGUUUAAGAAAAUUGCAUAAAACAUCAUAUCAAAAACCUCUGGCAAUGUCAAAAAAGUAAGAUUCCUGAAUCCAGUGUGUAGCCAAAGAAGAAAAUUCAAUUUCGUUUUUUCACUUUGUCUGCCAAUUUUUAUAGCACUUCAUUUAAAAUGAAAUCUCUGAAGAAUCGAUUCAAAUUAGCUUUACAGUUUUCCCCAAAGAAUCCACUUUAAAAUAAAUUGAAUCGGAGCAUGUGACAUAAGUCAGCAUAAAACUCAUGUUAACUAGUCCGAAGGAAAAACUUCUCACCAUCAGGAAACACUCUCACAUGACCAAGCCAAAAAUAGCCUUUAGAUCGUCACUUUCAAAAAGUUACAAAAAUAGGGAGACUUGUUGGAACAAUGAUCGGGUGAGUUCCCUCUAAGGAAAUGGCCUGGAAUCCUGUGAUGAAUUACGAAAGAAAAUCCUUAGGGCAAAAUGGAAAUGCUAGACCUUGUUCUUCAUACGCAGACUGGCAGCCAUAGAAAUACCUUUAGCUGGACCACCGGCUUCUGCUCGACGUUGACAAUGGGCAGUGCCAGGUGUAGACUGAAGGUAGAGGCUGUGGUCUAGGCCCUGCCUGUUUUACUUCGAUGAGGCAAACCUAUCGUAAGUAUUUAUCAUAUUUAGAUUCUUAAGGUCCUUGGUGACAGUGACAGUAUCUUAGUUGACCAAUGUCUAUCCUUGACGCACAACAGUAAUUUCAUAAAUCCUCGAGGGAGGGACACAGAAUGGUUGAAUGAACUUAUCGUUUAAAUCGGAUCAGACCUAAUGCUUCUUUCAUAGCUUCUUUCUUCCCAGUUGUUAGGGUGGAGAGGGUCUUGUCCAUGUGAUCCAGGAGGGGGUGGUGGGUGAUAAUGAGCUCAUGUUUUUCCUUCCUGAAGUAGAGAAAUAUGUAGGUUGGUAAAUCAUGAAAGUCUUUACAGAUAUGUUCAAAUGCUCUGCUUCAAAGGAACCACACAGAAGUUUAUUUUAAAGGACUCACUGUCACAUGUGAUCCACGCUUCUCUUCACAACACCCAUCGGAGUGGGCUUUCUUUCCAUUCCCCCAUACUGACUGCUUAGCUUCAUAAAAACUGCAUUUCAUUUUCUGUUACUUUUACUUCUGCUCCCAUUCUCCAGCCCAGAGAUCCAUGAGUCCAACCAUCUGAUCAUCUCCCCUCAAGCAGUUGUCAGAGACAUAGGGAUGGCGCACCUAGUGGCUGCUGGGAUACCUUUAAAGUAGUGUAUGCCUCACACUGUUAUGCUUUAUGCUGACUGAUUAAUAUUCUCCUGAGUCCAGAAAACACUGUUAUAACCCAAGUGUUAUAUCUGAGGUACAGACAGACUAAAAUCUGCCCAAAACGAGAACUCUAUCAAGUAAAAGAAUCAAGGUUUUGAAUCCAGUAAGUCUGGCUACAGAGCCAUGAGACAUAUGUACUCUUUGUUAACCUGUGGUCUUGACUUAUUAUGUGCUAGUGGAAGGAAUGGAAUUUAGACAAUUAUAUCAUAAAUCACGUAUUUUACGGUGAUUCGUUUUUAUGUAAUCUGUGUUCCCUGUAUGUGCAGUGACCUUGGAGGACAGAAGAGGGCAUGGAUUCCCUCUUCUGGGAACUGGGGUUGGAUGGUUCUGUAGGGACUGGACUUGAACCUGGAUCCUCUGGAAGAGCAGCCAGUGGUCUUAACUGCUGAACCAUCUCUCUUUUCCCCAAAUCAUGUCAUUUUAAUGGUAACGAGGUAGCAAGUUUAGUGUCUUCUCAUGUCGAUGUGACCAAAUCUCAAAUCACACAAGAAUAUGCUGCUGUUCUUGUCUCACAGACUAGGGUUUCAUUUGCUGAGUUAUGGAAGCCAAAACCCAAACAAUUUGUCCUUUCCUUCCUCAUUUGGUGCCCAACACACACCGAAUGCAUCACUAACUCUCAUAUCCGAUACUGCACUCAGUUGCUCCUGCCCCACCACACUGCAGAUACCCACAUGCCUGCUGAUCCCUUAGGAAGAUGGCCGCCUGCAAGUCAAUGGGAGAACUCUGGGAGAAGAUGAGCCUGCUGCUGACACUCUACUUUGGGUCUUCUGGUCUCUGGCACUGUUGGAGAUCCAUCUCGGCUCUGUGAGGUGGUGCCUGGUGCUUCUGACAGCAGCCUGAGCUGACUCAGACACUCUCCUCCACAGAAACUGGUCACCGUCACAAUCUGCUUCACUCUAGCGUCUGGAUCCCUGGUAAGAAGGUGAGCUCGGAGUGGGCAGCAAGUGUCCGGGCCUGGCUUCAGUCAGCCGGGUGUUCCCAGAGUCUGGUGUGAGUACCUCAUGCAAAGCUGAUGCUUAUUAGACAUCCCUUGAAUGAACAGCAGGUACAAGUGUCCGAGUGAACGGAUGAACAAGUAGCCAUUGUGAAUUUCCCCUCUGAGAAGAAGACUCAGGCCUGGGUUGUAUUUAGAAGCAAGGGCCUUCUCUCUGUAUCGGCUGGUGUAGUAUUAGUGGGAAUUUAUGACAUUUCACCAAAUACUGCAGAUUUCUAGAAGUUCAAGUUUUAGUUCUUCAAUGAAUUCAAUAAAAUUUAAUCUCACUGAUUUUAUUUUGAAAGAGGCAAGCUUGUAUCUCUAGAGUUAAGAGGAGAUCAUCCUUAGAUCUAUCAAUCCAACAUUAUCACAGUUGGAAGGGAAUCCACAAGCAUGAGAAACGUCCUCAUUUAAUUAAUGGCAUGCUCGAUUUCAGGCUGGAAAGUGUCCUUGCUGGUUUCCGUGGGUGCAGUGACAUCGUGUGAGUUCUGCAGGCUUGCCACCCAGGGAGACCGGAAUGCAUGGGAGGGUUUCUCUUGAAGUCUUCCAAGGACUCCUAUUUCUGAGGAACUCAUUAUUCACUUAAUUAUUCAUUCUGUUUAUUUACUGUAUAGUUAUUACACAUAAAUAUGGUGUAAGUCCCCAGAAUCCUCAAACACCAGAUGCCAGCUUCCCUCCGCAUUCCCCAAAGACAGAGCAGAGCCAUCGCCGUGAGGAUUCAAACAGCUAAAACCCAAUUAAAGUCGUGCCAGCGUGAUCCUUUCCAAAAGGAAAACCCCGAAACGAAUCAGCUUUUAGUCACCCUCCUGACUGCUUCUGCACAGACAAACAAACAAAAAAAUUCCUGAAAGCCGAAGCUGGAAAUAGCGUUGGCAUUUGAAUCAUGGCUCUGGUGAACUCCGGCUCAGGUCAAGUAGACUUUGUAUCGUGUCGGGCUAAUUCAACUCGAUAUCAUUUCUUUCAUCUGACGAAUCAGAGGAGACAGAGAAAAUGGUGUUGUGCUUUGCAAGUUUCCCACUUGUCUGGUGUUUGGAGCCCUGAGGUGACAUAUCCUUGCUAGAGCUUGGCACCCCUGCAUUACAGGUCUCCUCUCCUGUGGCUCUUGCCUCCCUACGGGAUGGACUGACAUCCUGAGGAGGCAAACGUGCUACCCAAGCUCUCUGAAAGGGCGAAGGCUGAGGAAGAGGACAGAGGAGGCCAGCUUCCUGCGACGGUUCAGAAAGAAACUUUCUCACGAGGGUAGUACCAGGCUGGCCACUGGGAUGAGGGAAGGCACGUUGGAGGGUAGUUAGGGAAGGGGGUGUGUUCACGGGGCUCAUUUCCCUGGUGGCACUCACUUAAUGUAGAACAAAGUGACUUUGUAGACCAGUGUCUUCGGGUUCUACUGCUGUGA
Molecule: small RNA, 5572 nt
Filed under: Rattus norvegicus (Norway rat)
Lineage: Eukaryota; Metazoa; Chordata; Mammalia; Rodentia; Muridae
Description: uncharacterized LOC108351290
Source: RNAcentral